This is a non-coding RNA of Cervus elaphus (red deer), 1118 nucleotides long. The record is from the annotation of a RefSeq genome assembly. NCBI's taxonomy places the organism in Eukaryota, Metazoa, Chordata, Mammalia, Artiodactyla, Cervidae.
AACUGGAAACUUACACCCUUUUCGCAAGAGGCAAGGUAGAAGGAGGAGAAAUAGGUUGGAGGCCCCAUUGUGUCAAACCUCAGGAUCUGCGCUGAGAUAAUAGAGUCAGUGGCUCCUGAGUAAAUACUAACACACCAUUACCAGCCUCAGGAAGAAGCCGGCAGGAGGCAGGAGCAGGGCAAAAGGUGAGGUGGGUUCUGGGCUGGAGUUGUAGACACGGCUGGAGGAAUGGGCCACUGAACUCCCACCAGACCGGUCAGCUGGGGCAGGCUUUGCCCUGCAGAUGGAAGCACGUGCCAGGGAGCGUGAUGGAAAUUGGAGAGUACAGAUCAUCGGGAUUCAAAAUGCAUGAUCUCAGCCGGGUGCACCCGCCCAAGGUGGCUGUGUUCGAACCCUCGGAAGCAGAGAUCGACCGGACCCAGAAGGCCACGCUCGUGUGCCUGGCCACGGGCUUCUACCCCGACCACGUGGAGCUGACCUGGUGGGUGAACAGGAAGCAGGUCACCACUGGGGUCAGCACGGACCCUGAGCCCUACAAGGAGGACCCCACGCGGGAGGACUCCAGAUACUGUCUGAGCAGCCGGCUGAGAGUGACCGCCACCUUCUGGCACAACCCCCGCAACCACUUCCGCUGCCAAGUCCAGUUCCACGGGCUCACGGAGAAGGACGAGUGGGAGCAGGACAGGGCCAAGCCCGUCACCCAGAACAUCAGCGCCGAGGCCUGGGGCAGAGCAGACUGUGGUGUCACCUCUGCGUCUUAUCAGCAAGGCGUCCUGUCUGCCACCCUCCUCUAUGAGAUCCUGCUGGGGAAGGCCACCCUGUACGCGGUGCUGGUCAGCGCCCUGGUGCUGAUGGCCAUGGUCAAGAGAAAAGAUUCCUGAAGCCAGCUUAGAAGUGGAGCCAGGAGCUUCCAGCCUGUUGCUGCCCUGAUGUGAGUUCUGCUUUUCCCAUUCCUACCCAGCGCUUCUGAAGAGCUGCCCUCAUCUCUGGACUCAGCCCAGCGUCCACUCCCAUGUGUGGGUGCCCCAAACUCUCAGGACCAGGAUCUCCCUAACCCAGGGGAGACCCUAGGGGGACUGAACUUGCUGAACCAAUAAAAAUGGCCUGUUGUGUUUUCA